Long non-coding RNA from Bombus pyrosoma, 11096 nucleotides. RefSeq lists it as uncharacterized. The transcript has 2 exons. The record is from RefSeq and is a predicted model, not a curated record. Lineage: Eukaryota; Metazoa; Arthropoda; Insecta; Hymenoptera; Apidae.
GUCGUUGCAAAUAUUCCAUCUACCUGAUCCAUUAUUAUUCCAAAUACUCCGACGUCUUUUUCGUCUUUUCCGUCUUUUCUCCGGUAUCGGUAUCGCGUUUUCUUCCUUUCGUUUCGUGCUUCCUUACGAUCACUUGCGAUCACGGAUGCGAUAUUCUCAUCGGUGUUUACAUCGAGUUGAUUUUCAAAAUCAGUUAAUUUAUCGAAAAAUUCUCCGCUUGAUUUAUACGACCUUGUUGACACCACGGCGAAUCUCCUUCUCCGUUUAGUCGCCUGUAAUUAAUUAAAAUAGGUAUUCGUUCUUUCACACAUGAUCGGAAAUGGUUGACGAACGUGUUCGUCGCUGGGAACUCCGUUGGUGGUACGACGAACCGAGAUGGCGAAUCAGCGAAUGCGCAACUCAACGAAAAAGAAGUCAAAACCUCGGUAGAUACGCGGUACGACUGGUUUUCUAAUGCCACGGGUCGCCUACACGAGUUGCCAGCAUCGCACGAUACACGGUUGCUCUGAUUUUCGGCUUAUGUCACUUUGUCGAACGGACACAAGUGCGCGUUAACCGCGAUAGAAUCUCCGAAUCGGACGGGCAAGCUUCUUCGUACUUUUCCCUGUCCCGCGCCCAGCCCAUUGCGAUUCGUUUUCUUUCAAAAACUUUCACUCUCGGUCUCGGGCGCGUGUUUAACGCUCCUUCCACCAGAUUUUACGUUCGCCGGUUGCGCGCAAUUAGCAUUCUUAUUUUAUUGGCGCGAUUAGGUAAAGUCUCGGCCGGCUCGUUACUUCGUCGAAUUUCGCCGCCAACGUAACACGCGCCUACAAAUUUAUUCGAGUUCGAUAAGGAACAGCCUUCGUCCUUAGCGGACGACCGUUUCUCGCGUUUGCACUCGCUCGUCCCAAGCUGUUGGAUGUUGAAACAGGCGUUGAAAAAAUUACUCGCGCGCGAUGACUUUUGUUUGAUUAACAAGAUCGUAUUGUCUUCGGAGCGUCGAGUACGCGUUUAAGAUCGUUCAAAUUCCUCGUCGUCCUUUCCGUUUUCGACAAACAUCGUUCCGAGAGGUUUCGUUGAAAUUCGAUUUUGAAAGUCCAUUCGACUUUUCCUUCUUUUUCCCCCUUCUCUUUCUCCUCCAGCGAACAAAUCAUCCGGCUCUUCCAUUUUUCGUACGCCUAUAAUUUAUUAUCAAUGAUGCAUAUAUUAAUAUAAUACUUGGCUGUCUUGUCUCUAUUUGCGUGUCUUUUACAUAAUCGACGUUCCUACGUGUAAAAUAUUUCUAUUUAAUUCGUUUUUUUUUCUUCGGAACGCUAAUCGCUGGCGUUUAGUUAGCCGUUAGUUAGCUUAUUGGCGUAAAAUUGCUUCUUAAUUGGACAGAUCGGAGAAUACCAGCAUAUUGGGUACACGUCGUCUUUGCACGAUAUAUUUUCCUUUCGAACGUGGCACGAUCGGCCAAAGUAACUCGACGAUUCGUCCGAUUCUUCGCCGAAUUGUUCGCCUUUUCACUUUCAUUUGCUAUUUUUGUUAUUAUUUCGACCGAACAAAUUCUUGCGAUUUCUACGAACGGCGAUCGAUCCGCUAGAUAGAGGCGCUUUCGCUUUCGAUUCCGCGUAAAACGAGUACAAACUUGUUAAGAGCGAAACUUGUCGAAAGAACGGGCGUUCCUCUAAAUUUGCCCAGAGCGAAAAAAAAAAAAAAUAUAACGAAGGAGAGGAUAACCGAAGAACAAUGCAAUAAGACAAAAAUAACGUAAGCAUAUAAAAGAAGGUAGAAUAAACAUCGCUGGAAAAAUAAGAUGACAGGCUAUAAAUAAGCGUAAAUAACGAUCGAAUCGAAAAGCAGAAAUCCUGUCAAACCGCAAAAUCCUCGAAAAUUAACGAUCGUGAUGAAUGGCUGGAACCGUCGUUAACGAAAUUGGAAAAAAGAUCAACCUUGUCCGGAACAUCGUUGACGUAGUUGCGACGGAGAAGCUUCUGUCGGUUCGGAAGAAACGUGAAUCGACGCGAAUCGACGCGAAUCGACGCGACGACGUAAAUGUCACGUUUCCGCUCCACCGAGACUCGUUUCCAACGAUUUUUUACAGAUCUACUAACGUAAACAGAAAAGUAACGAUCAUCGCUUCUGUGUCGAACGCGAAGUUGCGACAUGGUCGCGCGUAACAACGCGAUCUUAAUUAUCCGUUUUUGUAUCUCGAAGGCGAUCCGUCGAUGACACGCAUCUUUGGCGAGUUUUGUUUUCCCUCGAACGGUCGCUCCUCUCUGCCGUCUUUGCGAACACACGGAAGUUUAUAUAAUGGUCCUGACCGUUUGGAGUAUAGGUACCUGAUCCUCUAGCCGAAUCUAUCUAGCGUGGUUACUCCUUCUCGAGGAGAGGAACGAAUAAUGUCAAGGACACGGCGGCGCCCGUUUUCCCUAACAAGUACAAGAGGCGAGAACGAUAAGACGCGGUAAAGGCGGACAAACGUUUCGUUAGUUGGCGAUUUCGCGGCGAGGCUGAUCAGCGGGAUACGGAGCGUCUCGCUUCUUUGGCCCAUGUACGGGCGAAACGUUUUUCGUUGAACCUUGAAACGUCAAGACAGCCCGAAGCGAUCGUGAACCGGCGCGUCGACCUCUUUUCCCUUAAAUCGUCCAGCAAAAACUACAAUGGCCGUGCAGCGCGCACCUCGCGUUCGAAGUAAGCACGAUGUAUCGUUCGAUGUGCCGCGGAUACGUUUAACAUAAAUUAAUUUAUGUGCGUCACAAGAGGAAAAAGUUUAGCGAAUGUACGCGUUUGUAACUCGUUCACAGCGACCGUAACUUUUAAUUUUAGCUUUCCUAUAGAACGCGGCGGCGUAUCAUCGAAGUAGCAGUAAUUCUUUCAUUAUCGCCGACGCAGCGUGUUUAUAGCCCGAAGCGCAACGUAACCCUUUUUUCCAAGCUAUUCUUCUGCAUCUCGUUCUUUCGUACAAAAGGUUAUCUGCCUUUUCGCGCUCCUCGCUUUUCUCUUUCUCGCAAUUUCAAGCAACGAUGGAUGCGUGUCGUUCGAUCCCGCCAAUGCUUAGAAUUUCUUGCACGCGUAUGUUCAAUCGGCAGUUACAAAUUGACUUUUCGACCUCUCCCCGUCUACCGCGCAAAUCUAUGAAUUACAUCAACCGGUACUGGCUACGUACGUACCCAUAGGGUACGUGCUAGUUUCAGUAAGCAACGCGUCUUUGUAAUACCGCAUUGUGCAAACUGUUCCAUUCUUUUCUCUCUUGGUUCUGGCUACAAGCAACCUAUCGAUAGAUUGUUUAUCCGCGACCCCAUAACCAUAGAUAACCAUAGAUCGUUCAAGGUGCUUUUUAUACGCGAUAUUCGCUUUCAACUCCUAUUUAUCCUAUUUACUCGCUUUCCUUCGUUUUGUAUAUAGAAAUGCUCGGACGAGAACGUUAACGUGGAAACAAACUUACGAUGCAACCUCGUAUCGUUAGCGAUCGGAGUUGCGCGCUAGCAUGCACGUACGUACCAAUUUUUUGUUAGGAGAAUGGCACGCGAUAAAUGUUUCCAAUGUUUUUGGAUUCCGACGCGCAACGAUUACACGUAGGUUUCGUGAAAGAACAUUCUGCUUGCAAAAUUUGCCUUCUCCUUUUGCCAAAGUAUAUUCGCGAUGAAAUUUCCGUGGACGUUUUUAACAGGCUGUUGCAUCUCGAUUUAAUCACCGUCGCUGUUUACUUUGGACCAAUUGCUUGAAAUUAUGUCGUAAAAGAAAGGAACACAGGGUCGCUUUAAUCGUACGCCGCGAGGUAUACCGUAUACGAGGUGUACCAAAAAGUCAAACAACGGUACCGAUAAAUUGGUGAAAACUAUCAGCAGCGAAUCUGCGUUUCUGUUGACCGUACGCACGAUGAUACGUACGUAAUUGAUCUUGGAAAACUUUCGGAUAGAAUUUCGAUGGACUAAGUUAAAAAAGUAGCGAUCGCGUGGAAACUCGACCGACGUUUAGACUUUGACAUCAACUUUUUAGCUGCCGCUAUGUUGCAUGUUGGAGAUAUACUCGAUGAUGGUGCUACAAAAACAGAGCGGUUUUUUCGCCGUGCAGUUUAAGAGAAAUGGAACCAAUCGAUAUCAAUUUGUAUUAACGACGUGAGGAACGUUGAAAGGUUGUUGUAGAAAAAUCACCCAUUUUGUAUUUCCGUUCGUGAUACAACUACGCUACGCAAACAAACGUAAAUUUUAAAUACUAUCGUCAUUAUUUUAACAUUUACUCGAACGGCGAAACUAUUUAUUUUGCGUUAUUGACCGUUAUCGGCGAUUCUCGAGACGUACGUACGAAGAGUACACGAAAAAGAAAAAACGUCGAGUUUCAGCGUUUCUCGGAAAACGAACAUUUAUUUUUCGUUAUCGAGUAACGUUACAAUUUCGUAUGUCCCCUCGUAUCCAGAUAAAACGUAAUUUUAUUCCAUUUUUAUACUCGGUAUAACGCGUGAAACGCCGAGAGCGUUUACACACCGCGUACAGAAGCGAUACGAGAGGACGUUACACACGAAAUUCGUCCACGUUCCCCUCUUACUCUCGCCAACGAUAGGUCGAUUCGUACGUCGAACGCGAUUUUUCCAACGAACGCGUCGCUUGCGCUUAUUUAUCGAAGAUGUAUCGAUUACGAGUCGCGUUCGAUACGAGUAACCUCUAUCGGUCGGAGCGUAGAAUGAAAGGAAAAAGUUUCGGCAAAGUUAUAGAGGAACGCGUGGGAUGUAAGAUUUUAUCUCUUUUAUCUCGCCGUAUUUAUCCAUCUGCGAGGUGUUAAUACGCAGCUUUCGGUACCGUACAUCGAGUUCUCGUCGUACACGCGCUACCGAUACAACCGUUUCUUUGCCGCAACGAUCGUCGUCGUCGUCGUUGACCGUAAAAACAGCCCGAUGAUGUCUACGGAUCUCUACGGAGAUCGGACGCAAAACGGAUUGUUGCGAGUUUGUUUCACUUUCGACAAAUGAUACUUUACGUUCUAUUUCGUUGUUCUUUGAGGCGAUUAAACGAUUAAACGUCUCGCGGUGCGGCGGCCGGACUAGUAUCGCGCCAUUGACCCGAUCCAGAUUGAAAGCUAAAACCGAUAGAUCGCCGGUUACGCGUACAGGAAAAAGUAGUUGAAUAUGUCGAGUGGGACACCCUAUAGAUAUGGAAACCGAUAUCGACGUUGCGUCAUGGCCGCUGCUCGACGGUCGACCACCAUACAGCGAGGACAGUCGUACAGACGACGGUCCGUGCAGACAGUUUUUUUUAUCGAUAUCUCGAAAACUGAUAAAUCUCGGGAACUAGAAUUUUAUCCCGAGUUCGGUGAAAUUUCGCGACGACGAACGAAGAAGAUAGAAAUCGAUGCCGCGUUAAACACGGCCGCGCGCAUCGUGACGUUUCUACAAAAGUAACGAGUACUCGGGACAGUGAUCGGAAUGGUGUAAAGGAGAAGUCGCGUGUUUUUUAAGGAAUGCGUGACGUCAUUAUUAAUACUCGUAGCACGAGUUGCACAAUAUUUGUAAUGGGUGGUAAAAACGGCAAUUUCGCGUUUCAAACAGAUGUACGAAAAAAAUGUCGCUCGCAAAGGACGAUUGCUUUCUAACCUAAUUUUUAUUUAUAUCGUAUCGUAGAACACCUUAGCGACCAACGUAUUUUUCAGUACUGUGGUUGGAAAAUCCUCUCGCGUUUUUCUUUAGUCUUCGGUCAUACAGGAUGCUCACGCUCCGAAGGAAGACGUAGCCUCUUUGGCAGCAAAGUAAUAACAUUUCGAACAUUCGUACGGCGAUACGCAGCGAUGUGGAGCAGAGGACAAAUUAAAUUCGUUAUGGAGUCGGUAAGCAGGAACAGCGCGAGCGGAACGAGAACUACGCUGAAAAAUAAACAACCUUUAUCGUUCGUAGCUUCACAUUUUUAACGAUAUAAGAGUAAAAUCCUAAUUUUAACCCCUUAACCUACAACUACGCGCAUAGCCCGUAGUAAUCGUAAAUAUUACGGGCAUCGCUCGUGGUACGUACUACGCGAAUCGUGCGAAUGGUUCGAAGGUUGCGCGACCUUUUUUUACGUUUUCGGCCGUAAAUUCUCGAACGUAAAUAGUAGGUUAAGGGAUCAACUUAAUGUAUAAAAAUGUACAUAUAUUCUUUUUUCGUGCGCACGAAUAAAAAAAGUUAACGACGAUUGGUAGAAAAAAGAUUGGUUAUAAAUCAUCGAUAUAUGCAGCUUGAAAUCAGUAAUUCAAAUUAUUACGAAACACGUUCUGGCAACAGCAUCGUUACAAGAUCCAACGAUGCGGUCGGCGUAUUUUUUUUUCCUUUCGUUUUUCAUAUCUAUCUGUGCGACUCGUCUCUGGAGACGCGUCGUCGACGUAUGGCAGCGAAAUAACGAGAUCGGAAGCGAAUUACGAAGAAUAUAUCGAAAAUCGAACGUCGCUGGAUCGGCGGGAAACGAAGGAAUUACGACGUAGCGUGGAAAGUAGAUAGAUCCGUAAGAAAACGCGAAAUGGUUGAAUCUAAAACGGGAAAGAAGAAGGGCCAGCGAGCCUUUCGCGAACAAAGGCAGUUGUCUCUUCGUGUCGCAUCCUAUUACGUUCGGUGGUACGGAUCCACGUUUGUUUUCAUUUAGACGUAACAGAAGCGAGUUACGUUGUGAAAGCGUUCGCAUAACACUCGGAGUAAAACGAGCGCCGGUAUGUACGAACGGAUGUUAAGUCAGAGUCGUGGAUCUGUCCACGGCGGAGAAAGUAAGCCGUUUCCUCUUCCUGGUUCGCGUAGAUCAAUUUUUCCUCGAUACGUUCAUUGAUAAUCGGCGACAACAACACCGACGGAAAAUUUCCCUCGAUUUAUUCCCUUCUUCUUUUCGUUUUACCGCGUUCUUGUUUCGUCCAAAUUUCCCAAAGGGAAAAACGUGGAAACCCAAGUACACGCGAUUCGCUCGCGAAGUUACCUUGAACCUCGAGCAACGGAACGUGCCACUUUCGUCGCGUCUUUCUGCGUGACGUCGUCCCCGACCGACAGACCCGGCGUUGUCCAGAUUUUUACUCAAACAUCAACGAGUCUGUAAUCUGUGAUCGAUAAAUGCGCGACGUCUUUGAUGUUUGGAAAAUUGUCGGAUCUUCGUGCCAUCGCCUUGGAUCUUUCAAAUCUCGCCGUUUACGAGUCUACCGGUCGAUCCAAUGUAACCGUAUCUAAUUGCGCGCGUUGUUCGUACGCGUACGUGGCCGUAGCCUCGGGCGAAUUUGUUCGCUUCGUUGGUCGCGAUAUCAUCGGUGGAAAAGUUAGUCUAUUGGGAAAAAGGUGCAUCCCGUAGAAGGGAACCUAUGACGAUGACGAAAGUCUUUCAUCAUAAAAUUAUGAUGAAAGAAAGGAGCCGGCAUAAAGGUUACAAAAUGCAGAUCCGUCGCGACAAAAUUCAGUUCGCGAGAGUAUAUAGACGAUGACGGAGAAAGUGGCUUGGAAUAAAACAACACCGAUACCUUCUGAUUUUCAAUGUAUUAUUAUCAGCACAUGAUAGUUUCGCAUCCAUCUCACAAAGUAAGAAUCAGACAAAACGUCAACAAUCAUAAAUAAGAAACGAAAAAGAAAAAAAAAAAAAUAUAUAGAAACGGACGUUACAGGCCGCCGGAGUUCUAAAAGUCAGCUUCUAACGUGAAAAGUGUGGUACUCGUUGGUGUAACAUAAUUCGUAAUACAGAGGCGACUGAACGCGAGUAAAAUCGUUACAAUAUUACAAAAUAUCACAACGUUAAUAUCUGCCGGGUGUUUCUCGCGCGACUCCUGCAUGGAAAAAGGAGAAAAACGACGUUUUAGAUAAGAAGGCCGAACGGUCCAAGGUAAUAAGGGAAUGAAAAAAGAAAGAAAGAAAUAAAGGAACGCAUCAACAAUUUUUUACCGCGUGUAGCGACCAUCGUCGUCGAUCGCGUCGUCCGAUAUACGCGCGAGAGAGACGCGCGCCUUUUACCUCGAACCCUGCGAAGAUUCUCGAGAAUUUCCACCGGGCAGAAAACGAACGCCCGUCGAUUUCGCGCCUUCGGAAGCAUAAAGGACGGCGUGGUGCCUGUCGCGUUACAAAAAGACCAGACCGGGCUAACAAAACGCGUUAGAAACGCGCGUUCCUACGAAAACUGGUUCCUGGAAUCCGAAGGACUUCUUUUCUUCGCAGGGGAGAACGUAACGGCGCGAAAUCGGCCGAUGAAAUCACGUACCCCCGCGACGUUCUCAGCCAGAUUUAGACCUCGACACACCUAGGUCUUCGACGCGUAUUUCGCGAUUGGGACACGAGACAGCGAACGAACCGCUCGAUGGUUGGACCAUGGACUUCGAGGUGAACGAUACCACGCUCGUUUCGCUUCGCGUGUCCAGGCUCGGCUGACUGGAAUAAAUUAAAAGAAGAUCCACGACACGAAAGAAGAGUAACGCGGCAAACAGGCAGAACCGUGGAGAGAUUUGCGUGGGUAGAACAGAGCGACGUGACCGGUCGCCGAACAGCGUGCGUCUUUUUAAAUUAAAAAUUUGUCUCCGCAUCGACGUACGUUGAAAAAAUAGCGUACGACGCGCGUGGAUCGGCGACUCGCGCCCGUUUCUCUCUGCCGCGAAGAACGAAAUUGGCUAGCUCGGAGCGAGACUCGGGAACAACGUGACGCGGUAAUCGUAGGAAAAUCGGACGAGCAUCGGAGAAGAAUACCGCGGCAAAGAGCGUAAUGGAAAACAAGUAGAAACGGAAUGAUCGUAGAGGAGGAAAAGUCGCGGGGGGGGGGGGCGGGGACGACGGAGUUACGGGCUCUCGAUUACCAGCUUCGUUCGACGUCGAUUAGUCGCACUUAUUUGCGUUGGUCAGGCAAUUUUUUAUGGCGUUCGAUGAACGAUUUGCGUUAUCGUAGGAAAUAGCAGGAAGUGCGACGCAAUUCUGACGCGUACAAUUAUCCAGUGCGUCGUUGAGUAAUACGUUAUCGCGUCGCUCUGUAACGUCCGUAAAAUAUCGCUGUUGCAGCGUUCGAUCGGAUCAAACUGUAUCGAGCAAUUCACUUUCCAAGCUUACAAUUUCGACUUGACGACUUACACGCGAGCCCGUAAUAUCCAUGACAAAGUAGAAAAAGUAGGGAAUCGUGGACAGUGAUCGUAGCGAUACGCGCGUUAGCGAAAAACAAGCGUAGGCGCGAAUACUGUUGGUUCGUUUUAUCGAGAACGUCGAAGAUAUCCAAACUAUGAAACGCGGGUCGAGCUAAAAUAAAAUCGCAGCACGAGAACGAUGGAAUAGUUAAAAUCGGCCAAGAGCGAUCUCGCUCUGGAAGCUUGUGUAAAAUAGAGACGAGAAACAAAGAGGCUAGACUUUCUUCUUAGAGCGAAAGCUUUUGAUUUUUUCGCGCACGAUUGCUACCUUCGCGCUUGUCUUAAUCGUUACUUUUUCUGCUUCGUUUCUUUACUUAGUUCGUUAGUCUACUGGCGAAACGGAGCGGCCGAUCGCAAGGCGCCGCAUGUAGCAAACAAGGAGCAACGUUUCCGUUCUUCUUCUUCUUCUUCUUCUCUUCCUCCUCCUUUUUCUUCUUUCUCUAGAUUUCUUUCCAACGGUUUCCUCGUUCCUCCUUGCAUACUGCAAUUGUUCGCUGUCUUUCUCUCUGUCUCUCUACGAGUCUCGUUCACACUCGACGUAUUCAGGCACGCUUAUGUACACAAAACGUUAUCGUCUUCUCGCUUCUUGCCAUUUUUCUUCGUAGACGGCGCCCGACGAACUUUCGCCGACGCCGUCCGCGCCCGGUACGCUAGCAGUUACAGGUAAUUCGAGUAAUUGAGGGAGAGGACGAACGUAUACAACACCAGCCAUUUACCUACGUAACAAUUACUACCGCUCUAUAUACAACGAAUCGCUAACGCGGUCACCGAUCGCACCAGACAACCAAAACAUCAAACUCCAGCUUUCUUCUUCGUCUUUCUUUCUUCCUUCCUUCCUUCUGUUCCACGCGUUUCUUUCCCCUGUUUUCGCUUCGUAUCUCUGGCUUAACGGGAUAGCGGAAAAGGUACGAGGACGAGAAUACGACAAUUAUAGAGUAAUAUCACGGAAAACUGUCCAGCCUCGAAAAUUAAAUAAUGUGGCACUUGAUGAAUCUCGCUUCACCGAUUCCAAGUGUCUCCGUACAAUGGAAUCUCCUCUCGCGACAGGGAGGAGGAAACGACGCUCUUUUCUCUCGCUCUCUCUCUCUCUCUCUCUCUCUCUCUCUCUCUCUUUCUCAUACACGCAACAUACAAGCACGCAUACGCAAACGGUCGCGCGAAUGAGAGCAAAAAAAGAAACAAGAAGAAAAAGAAAGGAGCCGGCGUAAAGGCUUCAAAGUACAGACCCGUCGCGACAAAAUUCAGUUCGCGAGAAUAUACUAGACGGAAAUACAUACUACAAAGUGGAGUUAAAUCCAUGAAUAAAAAUAAAUACAUCAUCGAAAUACCGACGGAGACGUCCGACGCGGAAUCCGUUCGGUUCGAGCGAACCAACUGAACGACAGAACGCUAUAUAUUUGUAUAUCUCUAUGUAUAUCUAUAUAUAUAUACACACGCGCGCGCGCGCACGCACACACACACAUAUAGAUAUACAUAUGUGCGUGUAUAUAUAUAUAUAUAUAUAUACGAAUAUAUGUACAUACUAAACGCUUGUACCUUAAACGAUAGAAAAACUCGACGAAAAGGAAAAGUAUAGCCGAAAUGAAUCGUUCGAAAAUAUGUUUUGUACGUUAGCGCGCGUGCAGCGGGUCUACGCUCGCGAGACUCGCGUUUUCUCUUACUUUAUUUUUGAAACGUUGCCCGACAUCGAGUCCUCUCGAGGAUCGAAACGAACGCGCGUGUUUCGGUCCAUUUUACAAUAUAUCGCACGGUCGUCUACGCGAACGACAAAGGAACCGUGAACACAGGUAGAAAAAAGAAGCGUUAACGCACGCGCAUUGUUCAACGCUACUCGACAUCGAACGGUUAACGUUACACAUUGAGCGCCGAUCGCGCUUCGUCAUAUUUUCCUCUUUGUUUGUCCGUCCGUCUGUCUGUCUCUCUCUCUCUUUCAUUCUUCUCGCACAUCGAUGCGCGCUUUCUAAUAUACGCUAUCUCUGAUCUCUGUCAAAACUAUUCUUUUUUCUCUUUUUUUUUCAUUUAAUUACGUAAACAACGCUUUCCGAUUU